Molecule: ribosomal RNA, 460 nt
Filed under: uncultured bacterium
Lineage: Bacteria
Description: partial 16S ribosomal RNA
Rfam family: Bacterial small subunit ribosomal RNA
Source: RNAcentral
CCUACGGGAGGCAGCAGUGAGGAAUAUUGGUCAAUGGUCGGGAGACUGAACCAGCCAAGCCGCGUGAGGGAGGAAGGUACAGAGUAUCGUAAACCUCUUUUGUCAGGGAACAAAGACUGGGACGCGUCCCCGGAUGAGUGUACCUGAAGAAAAAGCAUCGGCUAACUCCGUGCCAGCAGCCGCGGUAAUACGGAGGACGCGAGCGUUAUCCGGAUUUACUGGGUGUAAAGGGCGUGUAGGCGGGACUGCAAGUCAGAUGUGAAAACCAUGGGCUCAACCCAUGGCCUGCAUUUGAAACUGUAGUGCUUGAGUGUUGGAGAGGCAGGCGGAAUUCCGUGUGUAGCGGUGAAAUGCGUAGAUAUACGGAGGAACACCAGUGGCGAAGGCGGCCUGCUGGACAAUAACUGACGCUGAGGCGCGAAAGCGUGGGGAGCAAACAGGAUUAGAUACCCUAGUAGUC